This 569-nucleotide ribosomal RNA is filed under the name uncultured bacterium. RNAcentral's name for it is "bacterial SSU rRNA". It matches the Rfam family "Bacterial small subunit ribosomal RNA", at positions 335 to 919 of the family's 1533-position model. The record is from RNAcentral.
AUUCCUACGGGAGGCAGCAGUGGGGAAUAUUGCACAAUGGGCGAAAGCCUGAUGCAGCGACGCCGCGUGAGCGAAGAAGUAUUUCGGUAUGUAAAGCUCUAUCAGCAGGGAAGAAGAAAUGACGGUACCUGACUAAGAAGCACCGGCUAAAUACGUGCCAGCAGCCGGGGUAAUACGUAUGGUGCAAGCGUUAUCCGGAUUUACUGGGUGUAAAGGGAGCGCAGGCGGUACGGCAAGUCUGAUGUGAAAGCCCGGGGCUCAACCCCGGUGUUGCAUUGGAAACUGUCGGACUAGAGUGUCGGAGGGGUAAGUGGAAUUCCUAGUGUAGCGGUGAAAUGCGUAGAUAUUAGGAGGAACACCAGUGGCGAAGGCGACUUACUGGACGAUAACUGACGCUGAGGCUCGAAAGCGUGGGGAGCAAACAGGAUUAGAUACCCUGGUAGUCCACGCUGUAAACGAUGAAUACUAGCUGUUGGGGAGCAUUGCUCUUCAGUGGCGCAGCAAACGCAAUAAGUAUUCCACCUGGGGAGUACGUUCGCAAGAAUGAAACUCAAAGGAAUUGACGGAAU